This 363-nucleotide small RNA is filed under the name Pan troglodytes (chimpanzee). RNAcentral's name for it is "processed transcript". Lineage: Eukaryota; Metazoa; Chordata; Mammalia; Primates; Hominidae. The record is from RNAcentral.
GCGGAAGCUGCGAUGCGGACGGGGCAGCGGCGGUGACCCGAGCUGCCGCCCGACAUGAACUCGCUGGAGCAGGCGGAAGCCCCGCGAGUUGUAUCCCUGAUUCCUGCGGUGGUUUCCGGUAACUGCCAAGAUCUCAAGGCUUUUGAGAGGAGACUUACUGAAUAUAUUCAUUGUUUGCAACCUGCUACUGGACGCUGGAGAAGCGCCGUAGCUCACGCCUGUAAUCCCAGCACUUUAGGAAGCCCAGGCAGGCGGAUCACCUAAGGUCAGAAGUUCAAGACUAGCGUGGCCAACACGGUGAAACGCCGUCUCUACUAAAAAUACGAAAUUAGCCGGUCGUGGUGACGCUGCCUGUGAUCCCAG